CCGAGUCCUGGGACCUUAAAAUCCCAACUCCCACCCUAUGUUGAUUUUAAACCGUUGCUUUGGCGGACCAGUAGCCUCGGCUGCCGCCGGCCUCGCGGCUGGAUAGCGUCCGCCAGAGGGAUUUUUAAACUCUGUUAAAUUGUGGAAUCUGAGUCUUUGAGAAUUAGAAUCA
Molecule: unclassified non-coding RNA, 172 nt
Filed under: uncultured fungus
Lineage: Eukaryota; Fungi
Description: sequence contains ITS1
Source: RNAcentral